CGGACCGACGAUCCGGACUCGGCUGGGCCUGGCCCCGAUCGCCAUCUUUACUUACCAUCGACUCCACCGAUGUUGUCUGUCCGCCUUCCGAUUGCCGUAGUCUCUACUCUUCUCCUGCGACGCUGCCUCAAUCUCCCUUUCCGCCACUGGCGAAGAAAAGGGGUUUGAGCGGUCGUCCAUCCAAGUGUUCUGUUUCUCAUCGUCAUCGGCAGUGUAUCAUGGUUACUCGCUCACCUCCGCUGCCUCCGUGGGGUCAUCUGCCUAUUGGAAGAGCAAGCAGCCGCGGCGACGGAGGAGAAAAGAAAUGAGAUGAAGAACCGUGUGGGCGGCGAUCUAUGGUGCGCCCGUGGGAUUCUGUUCGCCGUAGUGGCAUCCGUGGAUUGUAUAGUACCUCACCAUCCGAUGGUUGGAAGAGGAAUGCCUGAGGCGGCCCAGCAGAUCCACAGAGAGUGAGCUCCAGUGAGGCAGAAGCAUUGCUGUCAACUGGCAUAGUUGAGUUCUUCUCAAGCUCUUCAGAUCGUUGUGAUGUGGCCUGAUCAUUCUUCAAGCUGGAUUUGAAGAGAGGAGAGCAAACAGAUGGUUUUCAUUUAUCAAGAAUUAAAGUAGCUGCAACAGCUGAUCUUUUGAGAUCCAACAUUUAUAAAGGAUGGCAGUCUUAUUGUGGUCUAUCUUUCCUCGCGAGAAAAAAAAAAACCAAAACUUUGGAAAUGCACAAGUAACAACACUUGUUACCUUUUGAAAUUUAAGAGCGAGCGAGCAAAGGAGCUUGCGUUAUCUAUGUUGAAUUGGUGUGGUACAUUUGUAGGUGGUAGCAUAAUUGAGUUUCUAAUCAUCCUGUUGCCCUUCCAAGGGUUGGCUUCUUCCUCAUAUGGCAUGUUCUACAUUGCAGGUUCAAAAAAUUCUGCUGACAUCACAAUAUAGUCCUUAAUUUUUUUCUUCCUAGCAGUGUUCUAAAUGAUGACGGUUGAGACGGCCACCUAAACACCGCCUAAGUGGGAGGUGCAUCUCAAUCGUAUUGCCUUGUAUUUAGGCCGUGGCAAAGUAUUUCCGAUUUAGACUUGAGACUCGUCAUCGGACUCAGACGAUGGAUCCAGACUCGUCGUCGGACUCAAGCGACAUGUCCAACGCCAAAAUGCCGAAGUUGAUCAUCGAAUAGAAUAAGUUUUUUUUAACUUAGAUUUUAAUCGAAAUUUUAGAUUAAUAAUUUUAAUUAUGAUUGGGAUAAUUUAAAUAGUUUUAAUUAAAACCUAAUAAAAUUAAUUUAUUAUUUUGAUAUAUUAUUA
Long non-coding RNA from Zingiber officinale, 1283 nucleotides. RefSeq lists it as uncharacterized. NCBI's taxonomy places the organism in Eukaryota, Viridiplantae, Streptophyta, Magnoliopsida, Zingiberales, Zingiberaceae. The record is from RefSeq and is a predicted model, not a curated record. The transcript has 3 exons.